Molecule: ribosomal RNA, 116 nt
Filed under: Pacificispira spongiicola
Lineage: Bacteria; Pseudomonadati; Pseudomonadota; Alphaproteobacteria; Rhodospirillales; Aestuariispiraceae
Source: RNAcentral
CUUGGUGGCCUUAGCGGAGGGCCCAGCACCCGAUCCCAUCCCGAACUCGGCCGUGAAACCCUCCUGCGCCAAUGGUACUUCGGCUUAAGCCGCGGGAGAGUAGGGCGCCGCCAAGU